This 483-nucleotide ribosomal RNA is filed under the name uncultured bacterium. RNAcentral's name for it is "partial 16S ribosomal RNA". It matches the Rfam family "Bacterial small subunit ribosomal RNA", at positions 30 to 507 of the family's 1533-position model. The record is from RNAcentral.
AUUGAACGCUGGCGGCAGGCCUAACACAUGCAAGUCGAGCGGAUGAAGGGAGCUUGCUCCUGGAUUCAGCGGCGGACGGGUGAGUAAUGCCUAGGAAUCUGCCUGGUAGUGGGGGAUAACGUCCGGAAACGGGCGCUAAUACCGCAUACGUCCUGAGGGAGUAAGUGGGGGAUCUUCGGACCUCACGCUAUCAGAUGAGCCUAGGUCGGAUUAGCUAGUUGGUGGGGUAAAGGCCUACCAAGGCGACGAUCCGUAACUGGUCUGAGAGGAUGAUCAGUCACACUGGAACUGAGACACGGUCCAGACUCCUACGGGAGGCAGCAGUGGGGAAUAUUGGACAAUGGGCGAAAGCCUGAUCCAGCCAUGCCGCGUGUGUGAAGAAGGUCUUCGGAUUGUAAAGCACUUAAGUUGGGAGGAAGGGCAGUAAGUUAAUACCUUGCUGUUUUGACGUUACCAACAGAAUAAGCACCGGCUAACUUCGUG